This 380-nucleotide ribosomal RNA is filed under the name uncultured eukaryote. RNAcentral's name for it is "partial 18S ribosomal RNA". It matches the Rfam family "Eukaryotic small subunit ribosomal RNA", at positions 592 to 976 of the family's 1831-position model. The record is from RNAcentral.
CAAUAGCGUAUAUUAAAGUUGUUGCGGUUAAAAAGCUCGUAGUUGGAUUUCUGCUGAGAACGACCGGUCCGCCCUUUGGGUGUGUAUCUGGCUCUUUCUUGGCAUCUUCUUGGUGAACGUUGCUGCACUUGACUGUGUGGAGCGCUACCCAGGACUUUUACUUUGAGGAAAUUAGAGUGUUUCAAGCAGGCAUACGCCUUGAAUACAUUAGCAUGGAAUAAUAAGAUAGGACCUCGGUUCUAUUUUGUUGGUUUCUAGAGCUGAGGUAAUGAUUAAUAGGGAUAGUUGGGGGCAUUCGUAUUUAACUGUCAGAGGUGAAAUUCUUGGAUUUGUUAAAGAUGGACUACUGCGAAAGCAUUUGCCAAGGAUGUUUNCAUUGA